Molecule: ribosomal RNA, 498 nt
Filed under: uncultured bacterium
Lineage: Bacteria
Description: partial 16S ribosomal RNA
Rfam family: Bacterial small subunit ribosomal RNA
Source: RNAcentral
AUUGAACGCUGGCGGCAUGCCUUACACAUGCAAGUCGAACGGUAACGGGCCUUCGGGUGCCGACGAGUGGCGAACGGGUGAGUAAUGCAUCGGAACGUACCUUUCAGUGGGGGAUGACGUAGCGAAAGUUACGCUAAUACCGCAUAUUCUGUGAGCAGGAAAGCAGGGGAUCGCAAGACCUUGCGCUGAUUGAGCGGCCGAUGUCAGAUUAGCUAGUUGGUGAGGUAAAGGCUCACCAAGGCGACGAUCUGUAGCGGGUCUGAGAGGAUGAUCCGCCACACUGGGACUGAGACACGGCCCAGACUCCUACGGGAGGCAGCAGUGGGGAAUUUUGGACAAUGGGGGCAACCCUGAUCCAGCCAUGCCGCGUGAGUGAAGAAGGCCUUCGGGUUGUAAAGCUCUUUCGGCCGGGAAGAAAUCGCACAGGCUAAUACCUUGUGUGGAUGACGGUACCGGAAUAAGAAGCACCGGUUAACUACGUGCCAGCCGCCGCAGUAA